CAUCAUCGGUGCACUGUGCUGAUGAGUUCCAAAAAGGGCGAAACAGCUGUCCACAGUUGCCGUUGUUUGAGCUU
Molecule: non-coding RNA, 74 nt
Filed under: Paramuricea clavata
Lineage: Eukaryota; Metazoa; Cnidaria; Anthozoa; Malacalcyonacea; Plexauridae
Source: RNAcentral